AUUGAACGCUGGCGGCAGGCUUAACACAUGCAAGUCGAGCGGGGUGAUGGUGCUUGCACUAUCACUUAGCGGCGGACGGGUGAGUAAUGCUUAGGAAUCUGCCUAUUAGUGGGGGACAACAUCUCGAAAGGGAUGCUAAUACCGCAUACGUCCUACGGGAGAAAGCAGGGGAUCACUUGUGACCUUGCGCUAAUAGAUGAGCCUAAGUCGGAUUAGCUAGUUGGUGGGGUAAAGGCCUACCAAGGCGACGAUCUGUAGCGGGUCUGAGAGGAUGAUCCGCUACACUGGGACUGAGACACGGCCCAGACCCCUACGGGAGGCAGCAGUGGGGAAUAUUGGACAAUGGGGGGAACCCUGAUCCAGCCAUGCCGCGUGUGUGAAGAAGGCCUUAUGGUUGUAAAGCACUUUAAGCGAGGAGGAGGCUCUUUUGGUUAAUACCCAAGAUGAGUGGACGUUACUCGCAGAAUAAGCACCGGCUAACUCUGUGCCAGCAGCCGCGGUAA
RNAcentral lists this ribosomal RNA (503 nucleotides) under uncultured bacterium. Its description in RNAcentral is "partial 16S ribosomal RNA". It matches the Rfam family "Bacterial small subunit ribosomal RNA", at positions 30 to 523 of the family's 1533-position model. The record is from RNAcentral.